This 22-nucleotide non-coding RNA is filed under the name Arabidopsis thaliana (thale cress). Lineage: Eukaryota; Viridiplantae; Streptophyta; Magnoliopsida; Brassicales; Brassicaceae. The record is from RNAcentral.
UUCCACACAGAUGCUCUAUGAG